This 64-nucleotide transfer RNA is filed under the name Potamopyrgus antipodarum. Its description in RNAcentral is "tRNA-His". It matches the Rfam family "tRNA". From Rfam's summary of the family: Transfer RNA (tRNA) molecules are approximately 80 nucleotides in length. Their secondary structure includes four short double-helical elements and three loops (D, anti-codon, and T loops). The record is from RNAcentral. Lineage: Eukaryota; Metazoa; Mollusca; Gastropoda; Littorinimorpha; Tateidae.
GUUAAGUUAGUUUAACAAAAAUAUCAGCUUGUGGAUCUGAAGAUAAAAACUAUUUUACUUAACC